This 601-nucleotide ribosomal RNA is filed under the name uncultured archaeon. RNAcentral's name for it is "bacterial SSU rRNA". It matches the Rfam family "Archaeal small subunit ribosomal RNA", at positions 319 to 923 of the family's 1478-position model. The record is from RNAcentral.
UCCCUAUGGGGUGCAGCAGUCGCGAAAAUUUUGCAAUACACGAAAGUGUGACAGAGCUAUCCCGAGUGCCAUCCGCUGAGGAAGGCUUUUACCCAGUAUAAAUAGCUGGGAGAAUAAGGAGAGGGCAAGUCUGGUGUCAGCCGCCGCGGUAAUACCAGCUCUCCGAGUAGUGUGGACGUUUAUUGGGCCUAAAGCAUCCGUAGCUUGCUAGAUAAGUCUCCUGUUAAAUCCACCGAUUCAAUCGUUGGAUUGCGGGGGAUACUGUUUGGCUAGGGGACGGGAGAGGUCGACGGUAUUUCCGGGGUAGGGGUGAAAUCCUAUAAUCCCGGGAAGACCACCAGUGGCGAAGGCUGUCGACUAGAACGCGCCCGACGGUGAGGGAUGAAAGCUGGGGGAGCGAACCGGAUUAGAUACCCGGGUAGUCCCAGCUGUAAACGAUGCAGGCUAGGUGUUUGGGCGGCCACGAGCCGCCCUAGUGCCGCAGGGAAGCUGUUAAGCCUGCCGCCUGGGGAGUACGGCCGCAAGGCUGAAACUUAAAGGAAUUGGCGGGGGAGCACCACAAGGGGUGAAGCUUGCGGUUUAAUUGGAUUCAACGCCGGAA